GCCUGAGUGGCUCAAUUGGUUGAGCGACCGACUUCAGCUCGGGUCAUGAUCUGGCGGUUUGUGAGUUCGAGCCCCGUGUCGGGCU
RNAcentral lists this transfer RNA (85 nucleotides) under Felis catus (domestic cat). It matches the Rfam family "tRNA". Rfam says of the family: Transfer RNA (tRNA) molecules are approximately 80 nucleotides in length. The record is from Rfam by way of RNAcentral. Lineage: Eukaryota; Metazoa; Chordata; Mammalia; Carnivora; Felidae.